RNAcentral lists this ribosomal RNA (456 nucleotides) under Metschnikowia reukaufii. RNAcentral describes it as "eukaryotic LSU rRNA". It matches the Rfam family "Eukaryotic large subunit ribosomal RNA", at positions 137 to 656 of the family's 3401-position model. Lineage: Eukaryota; Fungi; Ascomycota; Pichiomycetes; Serinales; Metschnikowiaceae. The record is from RNAcentral.
UUCGGGAAUUGUAUUAGAGGUGGGUUUGGUUAGGAAAGUUACUUUAAGUCCAUUGGAAAAUGGCGCCAUGGAGGGUGAUAGCCCCGUAAAAGUAUCCCUUUUCCUUUUAUCCAUUCCCUCCAAAAGAGUCGAGUUGUUUGGGAAUGCAGCUCUAAGUGGGUGGUAAAUUCCAUCUAAAGCUAAAUAUUGGCGAGAGACCGAUAGCGAACAAGUACAGUGAUGGAAAGAUGAAAAGCACUUUGAAAAGAGAGUGAAAAAGUACGUGAAAUUGUUGAAAGGGAAGGGUUUGCAAGCAGACACAACCUCGGUUGGGCCAGCAUCGGAGUGGGGGGAGACAAAAAAGAAAAGGAAUGUAACUCAUUGAGUAUUAUAGCCUUUUUCUCAUAUCUCCACCCCCUUCCGAGGCCUGCGAUUCUUCAAGGAUGCUGGCGUAAUGGUUGCAAGUCGCCCGUCUUG